This 2981-nucleotide long non-coding RNA is filed under the name Homo sapiens (human). RNAcentral's name for it is "HSALNT0175722". The record is from RNAcentral. Lineage: Eukaryota; Metazoa; Chordata; Mammalia; Primates; Hominidae.
CUCAGGCAUUUGCUUCCUCCUCUAGCACAAAAGUAACAGGCCAUAAUCAGCUCACAGACAGGGCCUGCUCCCUUCGCAAUGGGAGUUUCCCCGAGCAUUGCCCUGGAGUCAGGAGCAGGUGCCAGGAAGUCUCUGCGGCAAAGAAACAUCCGCCUUUCCUGCUCGUUGGAGGGGCAGAGGCCAGGAGAAAAAUCAGCUGUGCUUUUUUUCACCUUUGUGCUCCAGCCUCUAGGCUCACUGCCUCCCCUUCCUGGAGAGAACAGAGAAAUCUGUCAAGGUCUGAGGUCUAGGUUUUUCUUGUCUGAGUGAGUGAGGAGACAACUGGGGAGGUAAUGUCAUCUUUGAGUCUCAAGGGCUGCCCUACUUAUGUUUCCAAGAGACAGAAGAGCCUGGACUUUGUCGUUGAUCAGACGAAGGCUUGAGUCCUGUUUCUGCCACCAUGAAGCUGCGUUAAGCAGCCUCUCUAGGCCUCCAUAUCUUUAUCUGCAAAAUAGAGACAACCACAGCCCUUUUCUGAGAAGAUCCUUGAGGAUGACCGGGCCUGGUGGCUCAUGCCUAUAAUAUCCCAGCACUUUGGGAGGUUGAGGUGGGUGGAUCACUCAAGGUCAGGAGUUCGAGACCAGUCUGACCAACACGGUGAAACCCUAUCUCUACUAAAAAUACAAAAAUUAGCUGGGAGUGGUGGUGCGUGCCUGUAAUCCCAGAUACCCAGAAGGCUGAGGCAGGAGAAUCGCUUGAAACCAGGAAGAGGAGGUUGUAGUGAGCCGAGGUCAUGCCACUGCACUCCAGCCUGGGCAACAGAGUGAGACUCUGUUUCAAAAAAAAAGAGAAAGAUCCCUGAGGAUGAAGAGAUGCUGAUAAACUGCUCAGCCACUUCUGGCACAAAUAAACUGACAAACGGAGGCGGCAUUGCAGAGCGGCCACGAGUCAUAAGUUCAGGUUCUGGCAUCCAAUGGAGUGUGAUUCCUCGUUCUACCACUUUCUUGCUACGUGACUUUCAGGAAAUUACUUAACUCCUCUGGGCCUGAGUCUCCUAAUCCAUAAACUGCUUUUUGUGAGGACUUCUUGCAAAAGUGCUUAGAAUGGUGUCUGGCAUAGAGUAAGCACUCAGUAAAGGUUAGCUAUUGGAGUGGAAUAAAAUUUAACAUGGGGAUGUUUGACGACUACCAGCCUCCAGGCUGCCAAAGAUAAUUCUGUGAUUGCCAGUCCUGUCCACUUGUUCUACAACUUCUCUUGCCUCUGUGUGCCUGUGAUGAUCUUUUGAUGUGUCAGUUUGGCUGGGCUACAUCCCCAGCAAUUCGACCAAGCAUUAAUCUAGGUGUUAAUACCUGUGAAAGUAGGCCGGGCACGGUGGCUUACGCCAGUAACCGCAGCACUUUGGGAGGCUGAGGCAGGUGGAUCACAAGGUCAGGAAUUUGAGACCAGCCUGACCAACAUGGUGAAACCCCAUCUCUACUAAAAAUACAAAAAAUUAGCCGGACGUGGAGGCACGCGCCUGUAAUCUCAGCUACUCAGGAGGCUGAGGCAGGAGAAUCGCUUGAACCCUGGAGGCGGAGGUUGCAGUGAGCCAAGAUCCUACCACUGCACUCCAGCCUGGGUGACAGAGUGAGACUCUGUGUCAAAAAAAAAAAAAACAAAAAAACCUGUGAAAGUAUUUUGUAGGUGUGAUUGAAUCCACAAUGAGUUGACUGUAAGUAAGGGAGAUUUUCCUAGAUAAUCUGGGUGGGCCUGAUUCCGUUGAAAAGCUUAAAGAAUAGAACUGAGGUUCCCCUGAUGAAGUUAUUCCCCCUGUGGACAGCAGCUCCAGCUCUGCCUUCCCGAGUGUCUGCUCUGCCAAUUGUACACUUGCGCCUGCAGCUCCCCCUAAUCGUAUAAGCCAAUUCCUUGCAAUGAAUCUUAGUCUAUAUGUCUCACUGUUUCUGUUUCUAUGGGGGAACCCUAACUGAUAAGAGCAUCCAGCACCUGGCAGGGGCCUGACACACCAUGGGGACAAUCUGCUUCUGAACGGAUGCAAGGCAAUCGGACUGUUUGGAAGGAAGUGAGGAGGUGGGGAGGAAGUGAUCACAGCCAUGAGGGGUGGUGAGGGGCAGGCUAAGGGUUUUGACCUGGGAAGAGCUAAGUCUUUGUGCAGAAGAAAUGACAGGGCCAGGACAGCUCAGACACCUGCAGGCCUCUUCUCACACAGCCUCUCCUUCUGGCCAUGCCCUGUAUUCCAGAUUAGGUCUCCAUCACAUUCUCUCAUAACGCCUCUCAAUUUCCCUUUAUGGUAGUUAUACAUUCGCAGGUGUGAUCGUUGGAUUAGUGCCUGUCUCUCCCACCAGAGUCCGAGCUCUGAGAGGCUGGGGUUUGCUCAUGGUGGUUUGCCCCUGGACAUAGCAUUGUAGGGACUCAGUCUUUACCUGUGGAAUGAAUGAAGAGUAAAUGAGUGCAAUGCCGUCCUGCCUCUGUGACCUGCCUUAAGGUCAUGGAGACGGAGAAGGAAGAGGGUGUGGCUUUGAAGUUUCUUUUAGGCUCCCAGGGUCGGGCUGGGGUUAGAGUUUGCAGAAUUAUCUCAUAGUCUAGGGGAGAUGAUAAAUUUGGGAGCCAGGAAGUCAGGGUGCUGGAUGCAGAUAGGAGUUGGCCGUGUUCCUGCUCUCAGGCUCCUAGGAAAGCAGGUGGGGCAGGCUGGGGAAGUGUGGUGGUAGCUCAGGACCGGGGUUCUAGCCUCAUGUCCAUCAAAGGUCUGCUGGAUAACUUCACUAAGCUUCAUCUGGGCCAAGUUUCUCCAUCUGUCUCAUGAUGGGUUAGUUGAGAUGAUCCGCAAAGAUUCUUCCAACACCAGAGUUCAAUGAGAUUAGGAAGUAGAAUUCUAGGUUCAAGGGCCGCAGUAAAUUUUUAAUCUCAACUGCAGAGUGCAAACCCUUGCACCUCCCUUCUGCAAACAGAGUGGAGUGAAGAGAUCUACUUGCCUUGUUUUCCAGACUUCAGUCCUUCAAGCUCUA